UGAGGGGUUUGGAAUGGGAUGG
RNAcentral lists this microRNA (22 nucleotides) under Homo sapiens (human). RNAcentral's name for it is "hsa-miR-5194". Lineage: Eukaryota; Metazoa; Chordata; Mammalia; Primates; Hominidae. The record is from miRBase by way of RNAcentral.